Molecule: ribosomal RNA, 373 nt
Filed under: uncultured bacterium
Lineage: Bacteria
Description: bacterial SSU rRNA
Rfam family: Bacterial small subunit ribosomal RNA
Source: RNAcentral
GAUGAACGCUAGCGGCAGGCUUAACACAUGCAAGUCGAGGGGUAUAGUUCUUCGGAAUUAGAGACCGGCGCACGGGUGCGUAACGCGUAUGCAAUCUACCUUUCACAAAGGGAUAGCCCAGAGAAAUUUGGAUUAAUACCUUAUAGUAAUACGACUUGGCAUCAAGAUGUAUUUAAAGAUUUAUCGGUGAAAGAUGAGCAUGCGUCCAUUAGCUAGUUGGUAAGGUAACGGCUUACCAAGGCUACGAUGGGUAGGGGUCCUGAGAGGGAGAUCCCCCACACUGGUACUGAGACACGGACCAGACUCCUACGGGAGGCAGCAGUGAGGAAUAUUGGACAAUAGGGCGGCAAGACCUGAUCCAGCCAUGCCGCGU